UGGCGGACGGGUGAGUAAUGUCUGGGAAACUGCCUGAUGGAGGGGGGUAACUACUGGAAACGGUAGCUAAUACCGCAUAACGUCGCAAGACCAAAGAGGGGGACCUUAGGGCCUCUUGCCGUCGGAUGUGCCCAGAUGGGAUUAGCUAGUAGGUGGGGUAACGGCUCACCUAGGCGACGAUCCCUAGCUGGUCUGAGAGGAUGACCAGCCACACUGGAACUGAGACACGGUCCAG
Molecule: ribosomal RNA, 235 nt
Filed under: uncultured bacterium
Lineage: Bacteria
Description: partial 16S ribosomal RNA
Rfam family: Bacterial small subunit ribosomal RNA
Source: RNAcentral